Molecule: microRNA precursor, 61 nt
Filed under: Pristionchus pacificus
Lineage: Eukaryota; Metazoa; Nematoda; Chromadorea; Rhabditida; Neodiplogasteridae
Description: mir-8364 microRNA precursor family
Rfam family: mir-8364 microRNA precursor family
Source: Rfam by way of RNAcentral
UCUUCAUUUCACGUGCUCUCUCACCGGUCAGAGUGACGAGAGAAUGUGUAAAAUGAAGAGA